This 265-nucleotide ribosomal RNA is filed under the name uncultured archaeon. Its description in RNAcentral is "partial 16S ribosomal RNA". It matches the Rfam family "Archaeal small subunit ribosomal RNA", at positions 719 to 982 of the family's 1478-position model. The record is from RNAcentral.
ACAGUCACACAUUAGAUACCCCGGUAGUCCCAGCCCUAAACGAUGCGCGUUAGGUGUAUCGGUGACCACGAGUCACCGAGGUGCCGAAGGGAAACCGUGAAACGUGCCGCCUGGGAAGUACGGUCGCAAGGCUGAAACUUAAAGGAAUUGGCGGGGGAGCACCACAACGGGUGGAGCUUGCGGUUUAAUUGGAUUCAACGCCGGAAAUCUUACCGGGACCGACAGCAACAUGAAGGCCAGGCUGAAGACUUUGCCGGAUUAGCUG